Molecule: ribosomal RNA, 482 nt
Filed under: uncultured bacterium
Lineage: Bacteria
Description: partial 16S ribosomal RNA
Rfam family: Bacterial small subunit ribosomal RNA
Source: RNAcentral
AUUGAACGCUGGCGGCAUGCUUUACACAUGCAAGUCGAACGGUAACAGGCCGCAAGGUGCUGACGAGUGGCGAACGGGUGAGUAAUGCAUCGGAACGUGCCCAGUCGUGGGGGAUAACUACUCGCAAGAGUAGCUAAUACCGCAUACGAUCUAUGGAUGAAAGCGGGGGACCGUAAGGCCUCGCGCGAUUGGAGCGGCCGAUGUCAGAUUAGGUAGUUGGUGGGGUAAAGGCUCACCAAGCCAACGAUCUGUAGCUGGUCUGAGAGGACGACCAGCCACACUGGGACUGAGACACGGCCCAGACUCCUACGGGAGGCAGCAGUGGGGAAUUUUGGACAAAGGGCGCAAGCCUGAUCCAGCAAUGCCGCGUGCAGGAAGAAGGCCUUCGGGUUGUAAACUGCUUUUGUACGGAACGAAACGGCUCUGGUUAAUACCCGGGGCUAAUGACGGUACCGUAAGAAUAAGCACCGGCUAACUACGUG